UGGGGAAUAUUGGACAAUGGGCGAAAGCCUGAUCCAGCAAUGCCGCGUGUGUGAAGAAGGUCUUCGGAUUGUAAAGCACUUUCGACGGGGACGAUGAUGACGGUACCCGUAGAAGAAGCCCCGGCUAACCUCGUGCCA
Molecule: ribosomal RNA, 138 nt
Filed under: uncultured bacterium
Lineage: Bacteria
Description: partial 16S ribosomal RNA
Rfam family: Bacterial small subunit ribosomal RNA
Source: RNAcentral